CAAAGGUUUGGUCCUAGCUUUGUUAUCAGCUAUACCUGGACUUAUACAUGCAAGUCUCCGCCCACCCGUGAGAAUGCCCUUAGCCCUCCGCCCGAGGGAAAGGAGCUGGUAUCAGGCACACUCCGUAGCCCACAACACUUUGCUCAGCCACACCCCCAAGGGUAAUCAGCAGUAAUAAACCUUAAGCCAUAAGUGAAAACUUGACUUAGUCAAAGCUAAAAGAGUCGGUAAAUCUCGUGCCAGCCACCGCGGUUAUACAAGAGACUCAAACUGAUAACACAACGGCGUAAAGAGUGGUUAAGAAAAACCCAAACUAAGGUCGCACAUCCUCAUGGUAGUGAUACACAUCCGAACAUACGAAGCCCACUCACGAAAGUAACCUUACAAAUCUGACUCCACGAAAGCUAUGACACAAACUGGGAUUAGAUACCCCACUAUGCUUAGCUAUAAACCUUAAUAGUUCUAUACAUAACUAUUCGCCAGGGUACUACGAGCACUAGCUUAAAACCCAAAGGACUUGGCGGUGCUUAAGACCCAUCUAGAGGAGCCUGUCCUAUAACCGAUACUCCCCGUUAAACCUUACCCUCCCUUGUUUAAUCCGCCUAUAUACCGCCGUCGUCAGCUUACCCCUUAAGAGCCAAACAGUAAGCAAAUCCAGUACAACUCCAAACGUCAGGUCGAGGUGUAGCGCAUGGGAGGGAAAGAGAUGGGCUACAUUCUCUACCACUAGUAGUUCGAAUAACGCAUUGAAAUAUGCGUCUUGAAGAUGGAUUUAGAAGUAAAUAGAAAACAGAGAGUUCCACUGAAACUGGCCCUAAAGCGCGCACACACCGCCCGUCACUCUCCCCAAACAAUCUCAACUUAUAUAAUAAUAAACUACCAACCUCAAGAGGGGGGACAAGUCGUAACAUGGUAAGUGUACCGGAAGGUGCACUUGGGUCAU
RNAcentral lists this non-coding RNA (943 nucleotides) under Synbranchus marmoratus (marbled swamp eel). RNAcentral's name for it is "12S rRNA". It matches the Rfam family "Bacterial small subunit ribosomal RNA". The record is from RNAcentral. Lineage: Eukaryota; Metazoa; Chordata; Actinopteri; Synbranchiformes; Synbranchidae.